AUGAACGCUAGCGGCAGGCCUAACACCUGCAAGUCGAGGGAGAGGUUACCUUCGGGUAACCAAAACCGGCGCACGGGUGCGUAACGCGUAUACAAUCUGCCUUUCACAUAGGGAUAGCCCGAAGAAAUUUGGAUUAAUACCUAAUGGUAUAUAAGAGCGGCAUCGUUUUUAUAUUAAAGCUACGGUGGUGAAAGAUGAGUAUGCGUUCUAUUAGCUAGUUGGAGAGGUAACGGCUCCCCAAGGCGACGAUAGAUAGGGGUUCUGAGAGGGAUGUCCCCCACACUUGUACUGAGAUACAGACCAGACUCCUACGGGAGGCAGCAGUGAGGAAUAUUGGACAAUGGUCGGAAGACUGAUCCAGCCAUGCCGCGUGCAGGAUGAAGGUCAUAUGGAUUGUAAACUGCUUUUGUAAGGGAAGAAUAAGGAGUACGUGUACUUUGAUGACGGUACCUUACGAAUAAGCAUCGGCUAACUCCGUG
RNAcentral lists this ribosomal RNA (479 nucleotides) under uncultured bacterium. Its description in RNAcentral is "partial 16S ribosomal RNA". It matches the Rfam family "Bacterial small subunit ribosomal RNA", at positions 29 to 507 of the family's 1533-position model. The record is from RNAcentral.